UUUCCGUAGGUGAACCUGCGGAAGGAUCAUUAACACUUUUUUUAAAUUUUAUGAAGUAAAUUUAUUUACUUCAUAAAUACAACUUAUGCGAACUUGUUAAAGUCUUUUAAUAGUAUUUAAAAAUUAUUGUAUUUUUUUUUGGGAAAAAUAUAUUCUUUUUUUAAAAAAUAAUACGACUUUUAGCAAUGGAUAUCUUGGCUCUUGCAUCGAUGAUGAACGCAGC
RNAcentral lists this unclassified non-coding RNA (223 nucleotides) under plant metagenome. RNAcentral describes it as "partial contains small subunit ribosomal RNA, internal transcribed spacer 1, and 5.8S ribosomal RNA". The stretch from base 175 to 223 matches the Rfam family "5.8S ribosomal RNA", at positions 1 to 49 of the family's 154-position model. The record is from RNAcentral.